RNAcentral lists this long non-coding RNA (1072 nucleotides) under Equus caballus (horse). RNAcentral's name for it is "lncRNA (ENSECAG00000058446.1)". The record is from RNAcentral. Lineage: Eukaryota; Metazoa; Chordata; Mammalia; Perissodactyla; Equidae.
CUGGGGUCUGGAAGGAACGGACAGAGCUGUUCCCUGUCUACUCAAUAUCUGUUCCCCUCUCCCCUGCAGCUAGUGUAGCCACUUGAUAAAGUUCUGGUCAAUGAGACAUGUGAUGGCUGGAUCUCUGGCUGUCCUACUGGAUCAUGAGGACUAGGACCACACUCAGAGGCCUGCAAAAGAGAAGCUUGAGAGGAAGGGUUCUAGUCCCCAUCCCAGCCUCUUCUUUCUCCUGCCUGGUCUCAGCCAUCCUGUGACUGCCCAGUCUGCACCCUGGAGACUUUUCCCCCGAAGCAGCCUUUCUCCUCCUUGUUUAGUCCCUCAGGCUCAAUGGACCAGUAUGGGGGUGAUAUCUUCACAGUGGCUUUUGUUUCUCUUCCUGUUCCUUUGAAGAGGACGCAAGACUGUCAUGUUGUCACUUGGCAACAAUUCAACAAAUGUGAAAUGUCCCUACCCUGUGACCCAGCCGUCUCUCUCCUUGUACACACGCCCAAAGAGGGAGAAAGCUCAGAGCAGCACGGUUGGUGACAGCAAAACUUCGGAAACACGAAGUAUCCAUUGAAAGGUUAGGACAUCAGAGUGCGUCCUUCGGGUGGAAGAUGCCACAGCAGUUUAAAAGGUUAGGAUUGAGGUAUUCACCCAAGAGACAGGCGAACACAAGCCCAAAUAAAGACUUGUCUGUGAAUGUUUACGGCAAUGCUAUUUGUAAUAGCCCCAAACUGAAAACAUUCAAAUGUCCGUCAACUGGUAAACAGAUAAGCAAAAUGGAACGCAUCUGUGCAAUGGAAUAUUAGCCAUAUAAAGGAUGACGUGAAGCCUACAGCAUGGAUGAAACUCCAAACAGUUAUGCUCAUAAAAGAAGUCAGAUGCAAAAGACCAAGUAUUGUACGAUUCCAUUUACGAAAUGUUCAGAAAAGGCAAACCUAUAGAGACAGAAAGUUCCGUGGUUGCCUGGGGCUGAGGGUGAGGGCAGGGACUGACUUGCUAACGGGCAAAAGGACAUUGUUGCAGGGGCGGAAAUGUUCUAAAACUAGAUGGCGGUGAUGGUCGCAAAGCUCUAUAAAUCUAUUUAAAA